UACGGAGGAUCCGAGCGUUAUCCGGAUUUAUUGGGUUUAAAGGGUGCGUAGGCGGGAUAUUAAGUCAGUGGUGAAAUCCUGCAGCUUAACUGCAGAACUGCCGUUGAUACUGAUAGUCUUGAGUUUGGUUAAGGUAGGCGGAAUGUGUAAUGUAGCGGUGAAAUGCUUAGAUAUUACACAGAACACCAAUUGCGUAGGCAGCUUACUGAGCCGACACUGACGCUGAGGCACGAAAGCGUGGGGAUCAAACAGGAUUAGA
Molecule: ribosomal RNA, 259 nt
Filed under: uncultured prokaryote
Description: partial 16S ribosomal RNA
Rfam family: Bacterial small subunit ribosomal RNA
Source: RNAcentral